This is a small RNA of Limnoraphis robusta CS-951, 287 nucleotides long. It matches the Rfam family "5' ureB small RNA". NCBI's taxonomy places the organism in Bacteria, Bacillati, Cyanobacteriota, Cyanophyceae, Oscillatoriales, Sirenicapillariaceae. The record is from Rfam.
CCGUUUCGAUUUGUUGAGGGCAAAUAAAGUGAAUAUGGCUAUCAAUUCCGCCUGCGGUGAGGAUCAUUCCUUCGCCUGCAAUGGCUUCGGUAGCCGGACCAAUAAUAAUAUUAACGUUGUCUUGAAUAUAAGGAUUUCCCGCUUUGCCAAUUUUAAAAAUUUUGCCGUCUUUAAUGCCAAUAUCGGCUUUAACAAUCCCCCAAUAAUCGAUAAUUAAGGCAUUUGUAAUCACCAGAUCGACGGCGCCUUCUUCGCGAGAAAUGGGAGACUGUCCCAUCCCAUCUCGG